UUAGACAAAGAAAAUAGGAACGUUGGCAAAUAAACAAAGGUUAUGCAAGUUUCCAGGAAAGCAAAGCAAGCAGAUAUAAACAACACUGAGGCCUGAAGUCUGAUGGGAUAGCAGAAAUGCUGAGUGAUUUUGGAGUAAAGUGGAGGAAAGGUCCUUACUACCAUGGACGAAAGGAGGAGCUGGAGGGCUUUUCCCAAAGGUCAUUUCUGACACCAGAAAUCACUCAAAUCAUGGGAUAUUUACACUCGCAUUGAACCCUACACUACCACGUUGAAUUUCCAGGACCUGCUAUGUAGUGGACUCAUUCACAUACUCUCAUUUGCUCGUUGGACCUUGGAACACAGAAGCUAAGCAUUAUGAGAUCUAAUGCAGUUAUAGGUAAUAAAAAGAAAUGACGACUUUA
Ornithorhynchus anatinus (platypus) is the source of this 403-nucleotide long non-coding RNA. RefSeq lists it as uncharacterized. Lineage: Eukaryota; Metazoa; Chordata; Mammalia; Monotremata; Ornithorhynchidae. The transcript has 3 exons. The record is from RefSeq and is a predicted model, not a curated record.